This 64-nucleotide transfer RNA is filed under the name Blaps rhynchoptera. RNAcentral describes it as "tRNA-Ile". Lineage: Eukaryota; Metazoa; Arthropoda; Insecta; Coleoptera; Tenebrionidae. The record is from RNAcentral.
AAUGAUGUGCCUGAGAAAAGGGCUAUUUUGAUAGAAUAAUUAAUGUACAGAUGUACCAUCGUUA